UAUUUUCAGUGGCGAGCUUAACCGAAUAGGGGAGGCGUAGCGAAAGCGAGUCUUAAUAGGGCGAAUGAGUUUGUGGGAUCAGACCCGAAACCGAGUGAUCUAGGCAUGGCCAGGCUGAAGGUACGGUAACACGUACUGGAGGGCCGAACCCACAUCUGUUGAAAAAGAUCGGGAUGAGCUGUGCCUAGGGGUGAAAGGCCAAUCAAACUCGGAGAUAGCUGGUUCUCCGCGAAAUCUAUUUAGGUAGAGCGUCACGUGAAUACCCUCGGGGGUAGAGCACUGGAUGGGCUAGGGGGCCGCGAGGCUUACCAAACCUAACCAAACUCCGAAUACCGAUAAGUAUGAGCACGGCAGACAGACCAUGGGUGCUAAGGUCCAUGGUCGAGAGGGAAACAGCCCAGACCGCCAGCUAAGGUCCCUAAG
RNAcentral lists this ribosomal RNA (423 nucleotides) under Isochrysis galbana. RNAcentral's name for it is "partial Bacterial large subunit ribosomal RNA". It matches the Rfam family "Bacterial large subunit ribosomal RNA", at positions 629 to 1052 of the family's 2925-position model. The record is from RNAcentral. Lineage: Eukaryota; Haptophyta; Isochrysidales; Isochrysidaceae.